UACGUAAUGUGCAAGCGUUAUCCGGAAUCAUUGGGCGUAAAGCGUUCGCAGGCGGUAAAGCAAGUUUGUGGUUAAAUCUGGUCGCUCAACGAUCAACUCGCUACAAAAACUGCUUUACUAGAGAUCAGCAGAGGCAACUGGAAUGCCGCAUGUAGGGGUAAAAUCCGUUGAUAUGCGGUGGAACACCAAAAGCGAAGGCAGGUUGCUGGGCUGUUUCUGACGCUGAGGAACGAAAGCGUGGGGAGCAAACAGG
RNAcentral lists this ribosomal RNA (253 nucleotides) under uncultured bacterium. Its description in RNAcentral is "partial 16S ribosomal RNA". It matches the Rfam family "Bacterial small subunit ribosomal RNA", at positions 524 to 776 of the family's 1533-position model. The record is from RNAcentral.